UCUGGUUGAUCCUGCCAGUAGUCAUAUGCUUGUCUCAAAGAUUAAGCCAUGCAUGUCUAAGUAUAAGCAAUUUAUACAGUGAAACUGCGAAUGGCUCAUUAAAUCAGUUAUCGUUUAUUUGAUAGUUCCUUUACUACAUGGUAUAACUGUGGUAAUUCUAGAGCUAAUACGUGCUUAAAAUCUCGACCCUUUGGAAGAGAUGUAUUUAUUAGAUAAAAAAUCAAUGUCUUCGGACUCUUUGAUGAUUCAUAAUAACUUUUCGAAUCGCAUGGCCUUGUGCUGGCGAUGGUUCAUUCAAAUUUCUGCCCUAUCAACUUUCGAUGGUAGGAUAGUGGCCUACCAUGGUUUCAACGGGUAACGGGGAAUAAGGGUUCGAUUCCGGAGAGGGAGCCUGAGAAACGGCUACCACAUCCAAGGAAGGCCGCAGGCGCGCAAAUUACCCAAUCCUAAUUCAGGGAGGUAGUGACAAUAAAUAACGAUACAGGGCCCAUUCGGGUCUUGUAAUUGGAAUGAGUACAAUGUAAAUACCUUAACGAGGAACAAUUGGAGGGCAAGUCUGGUA
This 562-nucleotide ribosomal RNA is filed under the name uncultured eukaryote. Its description in RNAcentral is "SSU rRNA". It matches the Rfam family "Eukaryotic small subunit ribosomal RNA", at positions 1 to 566 of the family's 1831-position model. The record is from RNAcentral.